GGCCCCUUAGCUCAAUUGGAUAGAGCAGCGGACUUCUAAUCCGGAGGUUGUGGGUUCGAGUCCCGCAGGGGCCGCCA
RNAcentral lists this transfer RNA (77 nucleotides) under Alteromonadaceae bacterium. Its description in RNAcentral is "tRNA-Arg". It matches the Rfam family "tRNA". Rfam says of the family: Transfer RNA (tRNA) molecules are approximately 80 nucleotides in length. Their secondary structure includes four short double-helical elements and three loops (D, anti-codon, and T loops). Lineage: Bacteria; Pseudomonadati; Pseudomonadota; Gammaproteobacteria; Alteromonadales; Alteromonadaceae. The record is from RNAcentral.